GGAAAUUGAUAUAUAUUAUUUUAACCUAUGAAUUAAAGUAUGUAACUAAUUAAAUAUAGUAAAAAAGUAUGAUAAAGGUAUAAAACUUAUCGGAAUUAUACAUUAUUUUGAAUCGGCUACUCAAUCUUUCAAAAUUUUAAUUUUACUAUCUAACUUUUUAAUAUAUUUGAUUUGAGUCAGUCAUCGAUAUUUUGACUUCAAAAUUUAAGAUAAUUAUUUUAAUGAAUUUGCUAUUCCAAGAAUUGCAUGUAAUGUAUUAACUAACUUGUAAAAGUAAAUGUCGCAUUCAAAUUUUGCAGUUAAAGUGCUUAAAAUCAAAAUUUUAAAAGAUUGAUUAGCCAACUCAAAUUGGUCCAUGAUUCAGAUAAGUUCUAUAUUUUUUUAACUAAAAAAUAUUUUAAGCUCAAAACUUAAAAAAGCUAUUUUAUAAAAAAAAUUACCA
Molecule: long non-coding RNA, 442 nt
Filed under: Ananas comosus (pineapple)
Lineage: Eukaryota; Viridiplantae; Streptophyta; Magnoliopsida; Poales; Bromeliaceae
Description: long non-coding RNA (ACOM_LNC001830)
Source: RNAcentral